Phascolarctos cinereus (koala) is the source of this 504-nucleotide non-coding RNA. NCBI's taxonomy places the organism in Eukaryota, Metazoa, Chordata, Mammalia, Diprotodontia, Phascolarctidae. The record is from RefSeq and is a predicted model, not a curated record.
GAGAAUUAAGGUGUAUGUUAAGGAUAUUAAAUAUUCUAAGAGUGGGAAGAGCUUCCUGAAGUGCUAGGAGAGAAAUGAUCAGAAGAAAAAGGAAGCCAAAGGAAAAAGCACCUGGUUUCAACUGAAGGGUCAGCCUGCCUCACCAGAGAGAUAGCUUUGUAAGAACCAGUAAUAAAGAACCUGAAGUAUCGGAACCAAUCUCCUAUGAAUAAUUAGUGCCAUUCGAUACAUCAGAAUGCAUCAACCAGGAUUUUCAUUUGUUUUGUUGCAGACUAUUUCAUAAGCAUCUUGAAAACUACAUUUUAGAGCCCAGAUACUACCCUUACUGCGGAUUGACGCCAUGAAACUGGGUUUCCUGAAUCACCAGACAAGCCAACAAGGUUAAUGAAUCUUUCCUGAACCCGAAGGGUGGCAAAAUAAGGGCAAAAUAAAAAACAGUGGACCAGAGUACUCAUGUUGGCAAAGGAAUUAGGCAAUAAGCUAGAAAACUUGACAUACAUCCUA